This 29-nucleotide small RNA is filed under the name Bombyx mori (domestic silkworm). Its description in RNAcentral is "ovarian small RNA-13063". The record is from RNAcentral. Lineage: Eukaryota; Metazoa; Arthropoda; Insecta; Lepidoptera; Bombycidae.
CACUGAAUUUCAUGGGCCGCCAGACGGGC